CCUGGCUCACGAUGAACGCUAGCUACAGGCUUAACACAUGCAAGUCGAGGGGCUGCAUGGUCUUAGCUUGCUAAGGCCGAUGGCGACCGGCGCACGGGUGAGUAACACGUAUCCAACCUGCCGUCUACUCUUGGACAGCCUUCUGAAAGGAAGAUUAAUACAAGAUGGCAUCAUGAGUCCGCAUGUUCACAUGAUUAAAGGUAUUCCGGUAGACGAUGGGGAUGCGUUCCAUUAGAUAGUAGGCGGGGUAACGGCCCACCUAGUCUUCGAUGGAUAGGGGUUCUGAGAGGAAGGUCCCCCACAUUGGAACUGAGACACGGUCCAAACUCCUACGGGAGGCAGCAGUGAGGAAUAUUGGUCAAUGGGCGAGAGCCUGAACCAGCCAAGUAGCGUGAAGGAUGACUGCCCUAUGGGUUGUAAACUUCUUUUAUAAAGGAAUAAAGUCGGGUAUGCAUACCCGUUUGCAUGUACUUUAUGAAUAAGGAUCGGCUAACUCCGUGCCAGCAGCCGCGGUAAUACGGAGGAUCCGAGCGUUAUCCGGAUUUAUUGGGUUUAAAGGGAGCGUAGAUGGAUGUUUAAGUCAGUUGUGAAAGUUUGCGGCUCAACCGUAAAAUUGCAGUUGAUACUGGAUAUCUUGAGUGCAGUUGAGGCAGGCGGAAUUCGUGGUGUAGCGGUGAAAUGCUUAGAUAUCACGAAGAACUCCGAUUGCGAAGGCAGCCUGCUAAGCUGCAACUGACAUUGAGGCUCGAAAGUGUGGGUAUCAAACAGGAUUAGAUACCCUGGUAGUCCACACGGUAAACGAUGAAUACUCGCUGUUUGCGAUAUACAGCAAGCGGCCAAGCGAAAGCGUUAAGUAUUCCACCUGGGGAGUACGCCGGCAACGGUGAAACUCAAAGGAAUUGACGGGGGCCCGCACAAGCGGAGGAACAUGUGGUUUAAUUCGAUGAUACGCGAGGAACCUUACCCGGGCUUAAAUUGCAGAUGAAUUACGGUGAAAGCCGUAAGCCGCAAGGCAUCUGUGAAGGUGCUGCAUGGUUGUCGUCAGCUCGUGCCGUGAGGUGUCGGCUUAAGUGCCAUAACGAGCGCAACCCUUGUUGUCAGUUACUAACAGGUUCCGCUGAGGACUCUGACAAGACUGCCAUCGUAAGAUGUGAGGAAGGUGGGGAUGACGUCAAAUCAGCACGGCCCUUACGUCCGGGGCUACACACGUGUUACAAUGGGGGGUACAGAGGGCCGCUACCACGCGAGUGGAUGCCAAUCCCAAAAACCUCUCUCAGUUCGGACUGGAGUCUGCAACCCGACUCCACGAAGCUGGAUUCGCUAGUAAUCGCGCAUCAGCCACGGCGCGGUGAAUACGUUCCCGGGCCUUGUACACACCGCCC
RNAcentral lists this ribosomal RNA (1382 nucleotides) under uncultured bacterium. RNAcentral describes it as "bacterial SSU rRNA". It matches the Rfam family "Bacterial small subunit ribosomal RNA", at positions 18 to 1395 of the family's 1533-position model. The record is from RNAcentral.